AUUGAACGCUGGCGGCAGGCUUAACACAUGCAAGUCGAGCGGUAACAGAGAGAAGCUUGCUUCUCUGCUGACGAGCGGCGGACGGGUGAGUAAUGCCUAGGAAUCUGCCUAGUAGUGGGGGAUAACUUGCCGAAAGGUAAGCUAAUACCGCAUACGUCCUACGGGAGAAAGGAGGGGACCUUCGGGCCUUUCGCUAUUAGAUGAGCCUAGGUCGGAUUAGUUAGUUGGUGAGGUAAUGGCUCACCAAGACCGCGAUCCGUAACUGGUCUGAGAGGAUGAUCAGUCGCACUGGAACUGAGACACGGUCCAGACUCCUACGGGAGGCAGCAGUGGGGAAUAUUGGACAAUGGGGGGGAACCCUGAUCCAGCCAUGCCGCGUGUGUGAAGAAGGUCUUAGGAUUGUAAAGCACUUUAAGUUGGGAGGAAGAGCAGUUAACUAAUAUUUGACUGUUUUGACGUUACCGACAGAAUAAGCACCGGCUAACUUCGUG
Molecule: ribosomal RNA, 491 nt
Filed under: uncultured bacterium
Lineage: Bacteria
Description: partial 16S ribosomal RNA
Rfam family: Bacterial small subunit ribosomal RNA
Source: RNAcentral